UGGCUGUCGUCCGCUCGUGUCGUGAGAUGUUGGGUUAAGUCCCGCAACGAGCGCAACCCUUGUCAUUAGUUGCUACAUUCAGUUGGGCACUCUAAUGAGACUGCCGGUGACAAACCGGAGGAAGGUGGGGAUGACGUCAAGUCCUCAUGGCCCUUAUAGGUGGGGCUACACACGUCAUACAAUGGCUGGUACAAAGGGUUGCCAACCCGCGAGGGGGAGCUAAUCCCAUAAAGCCAGUCGUAGUCCGGAUCGCAGUCUGCAACUCGACUGCGUGAAGUCGGAAUCGCUAGUAAUCGUGGAUCAG
RNAcentral lists this ribosomal RNA (304 nucleotides) under Xenophilus aerolatus. RNAcentral describes it as "bacterial SSU rRNA". It matches the Rfam family "Bacterial small subunit ribosomal RNA", at positions 1046 to 1352 of the family's 1533-position model. Lineage: Bacteria; Pseudomonadati; Pseudomonadota; Betaproteobacteria; Burkholderiales; Comamonadaceae. The record is from RNAcentral.